This 463-nucleotide ribosomal RNA is filed under the name uncultured bacterium. RNAcentral describes it as "partial 16S ribosomal RNA". It matches the Rfam family "Bacterial small subunit ribosomal RNA", at positions 28 to 507 of the family's 1533-position model. The record is from RNAcentral.
GAUGAACGCUGACAGAAUGCUUAACACAUGCAAGUCUUUGGCGAAGCUGUGCUUGCACAGCCUAGCCAAGGCGGACGGGUGAGUAACGCGUAAGGAACUUGCCCUGCAGUCAGGGAUAACAGACGGAAACGACUGAUAAGACCUGGUAAAGUCAGGCGGACUCAUGUCCAGCCUGAUGAAAAGAGAUGCUGCAGGAGAGCCUUGCGUCCUAUUAGCGUGUUGGUGGGGUAACGGCCCACCAAGGCGGUGAUAGGUAGCCGGCCUGAGAGGGUGGACGGCCACAAGGGGACUGAGAUACGGCCCUUACUCCUACGGGAGGCAGCAGUGGGGAAUAUUGGACAAUGGGGGCAACCCUGAUCCAGCAAUUCUGUGUGCACGAUGAAGGUUUUCGGACUGUAAAGUGCUCUCAGCAGGGAAGAAAAAAAUGACGGUACCUGCAGAAGAAGCGACGGCUAAAUACGUG